ACACCUCUCAGGAGAACUAAGCGGUUUGUCCAUAAUGUUUAUGAGCUUUGCACUGAUUGGCUCAGCUGUUGCUAGAGAACCACGUCAUUGUAGAGAACAUGUUCUACUGAGGACUCGCAGGCUGCUCUCAGCCUUUGAGAUAAAAGAAAAGAAAAAUAAGCGUUGCCGAAUAGGCUAAAUGUUAAAAUGAUUGUGCUGAGUACUCCACACUGGCGCAGAUUUAAUAAUGUACAAAACCUUAUUGCAUUCUGCGCCACUAGAUGGCAUAUUUGGGGCAUACAGAUCCUGGGAGGAGGAGAAGAAGAAGUGUAUGUCGUUGCUGCUAGCCACGUACUCACUCUGCCUGCGGUGGAUUGUUUUAUUCCCUGUCAAUUUAAAACUACUUCAGUAAAUGUAUUAACUUUACACCGAGCCUCUUCAUUGCCUACUACAAAGCAACUUUAUGCACCAGUUCGUCACUGAUGGCUCAUCAACGCGGCGGCAUCCUCGUCAUGGGACAGGUUCAUCAGAGUCAGGUGGUCAGCACCCAAACUAAAACCAUGGGUCAUGGUGAAGAAGUAUGAGAGACUGUUCUAUGUGCCCAGGAUUCGUCAGGAUGGUGUCCAAGAAUUACAUCCUAGCAGCACAGAACAGGACGCCAUCAUGAAGAAGUUGCCUGUGGGGCUUCACUUGGGCUUUGCCAGCGCCUCACUAUCAGUGAUGCUGGUCUCCUUAUCCACCGUGCC
Engraulis encrasicolus (European anchovy) is the source of this 725-nucleotide long non-coding RNA. RefSeq lists it as uncharacterized. The transcript is spliced from 3 exons. Lineage: Eukaryota; Metazoa; Chordata; Actinopteri; Clupeiformes; Engraulidae. The record is from RefSeq and is a predicted model, not a curated record.